GACAGAGGUGCCGAGCGUUAGGCGGAAUCACUGGGCUUAAAGCGUGUGUAGGCGGACCGUUAAGUACCUUGUGAAAUCCCCCGGCUCAACCGGGGAACGGCUGGGUAUACUGGCGGUCUGAGCCAUCCAGGGGCAGUCGGAACAGACGGUGGAGCGGUGAAAUGCGUAGAUAUCGUCUGGAACGCCGAAGGUGAAAACAGACUGCUGGGGAUGAGCUGACGCUGAGACACGAAAGCCAGGGGAGGCGAACGGG
RNAcentral lists this ribosomal RNA (253 nucleotides) under uncultured bacterium. RNAcentral describes it as "partial 16S ribosomal RNA". It matches the Rfam family "Bacterial small subunit ribosomal RNA", at positions 524 to 776 of the family's 1533-position model. The record is from RNAcentral.